Molecule: long non-coding RNA, 1307 nt
Organism: Pipistrellus kuhlii (Kuhl's pipistrelle)
Lineage: Eukaryota; Metazoa; Chordata; Mammalia; Chiroptera; Vespertilionidae
Exons: 2
Source: RefSeq, a predicted model, not a curated record
CCAAUGUACAUGCCCUUGACCGGAAUCGAACCUGGGACCUUUCAGUCCGCAGACCCGGGGCUCUAUCCACUGAGCCACACCGGCUUCGGCUGCAGAGCCUUUACAGACGCCACAGCAGCCCUGCCCAGGGAGGCAGGUGGCGGUUAGAAUUGGUCCCGCUUUGCAGGUGGGAGCAGAGACCUCUCUAAGGAGGCAGCGUGGCCAAGGCUUGACCCCAGUCUGCAGGGAUAAAGCGGGGCUGUUUCCCGGACCACUGUGUGCCAGCAAACACAGACGGAGGAAAAAGCCCUCACUGUGUGCUGAGGCUACGGGAUCCUGUGGCCCCUCUGCCUCUCUCCCUUGAGAGUCUGGGGGCUGGGGUAGGGUGUGGGAGGGUGCUAAGAUGCCUCCCAGGGGCCUGGGUUGGGGGCUACCCACUGGCGCUACUUGCACCGAAUUUCUUAGUGCCUUUAGGAAGAAAGAGCCAAACAGGUUUCCUGGCCUUGAAAACCCACACCUACCAGUAGCCUCACCAACUUGACUGGCAUCUUUGUGGCCAGAGCUGGAGCACAGAGUCCCAGACCUCUGAGCAGCUGAGGAAAAUGAGGGGUCGUCUCAUUCAUCCCCCCCACCUCAGCCCCCUCUUCCAGGAAGGCCCGGGCAGUCAAAGAGCACGGUGUGCCUUCACACUCCUGUGCUGUGUGUCCUGGGGAAGGUUCCCUCACCUCUCUGAGCCCGGACUCCCCAUUAGUGCCAAGAGGAUAAGGUUCUUGAGGUUGUCCUUUGGGGGCUUGAAGCCAGAGGUUGUGAGCUUGGUGGUUGGGAAAGCUGAGCCUGCAGCUGGAGUUGAACCUGGAAAAAGCAGCAGGAGCUUCUGGGCCCAUCACAGCUGCCUGUUCUCCAAGGUGCUCUGGGCUGGGUUCACUCUUCCCCUCUAUGCACGCAUGUACACACGCAUACAGGUGUGGGCAGGACAGGCAGUUCCUGCUCAUUUAAAUUCCUCAGACACACCCUGAGCCCCUGCUGGCUGAGAGGAAAGGGGCCCCAUCCUCUGACUUCUUCACUCCUAAGAGGCGCCUCUUACAUAAUCAGAGGGAAACAAUGAAGCUGUUUCAGAAGGAAAAUCAGCAUUCAGAACUCGGCAGGCGCUUGUGCUCUUAAAUGCACUAACUUCAGCCCACUGCGUGGAUGCUGACCAUCUUAAAGUGGGUUUCUUGGCAAAGAGCAUCCUCAGAGCCGACAGGUAAAAUAUUUCUCAUUGGCAGGGUCAGCACCAUCCAAUCUCGAGAUUAAAGUUGCCAGACUAAAAGAUGAAAUAAUUUUUUUUU